AUUCGCAGUCUGACGGAGCAACGCCGCGUGAGUGAUGAAGGCUUUCGGGUCGUAAAACUCUGUUGUUAGGGAAGAACAAGUACGAGAGUAACUGCUCGGACCUUGACGGUACCUAACCAGAAAGCCACGGCUAACUACGUGCCAGCAGCCGCGGUAAUACGUAGGUGGCAAGCGUUAUCCGGAAUUAUUGGGCGUAAAGCGCGCGCAGGCGGUUUCUUAAGUCUGAUGUGAAAGCCCACGGCUCAACCGUGGAGGGUCAUUGGAAACUGGGGAACUUGAGUGCAGAAGAAAAAAGCGGAAUUCCCCGUGUAGCGGUGAAAUGCGUAAAGAUGUGGAGGAACACCAGUGGCGAAGGCGGCUUUCUGGUCUGUAACUGACGCUGAGGCGCGAAAGCGUGGGGAGCAAACAGGAUUAGAUACCCUGGUAGUCCACGCCGUAAACGAUGAGUGCUAAGUGUUAGAGGGUUUCCGCCCUUUAGUGCUGCAGCUAACGCAUUAAGCACUCCGCCUGGGGAGUACGGGCGCAAGACUGAAACUCAAAGGAAUUGACGGGG
RNAcentral lists this ribosomal RNA (553 nucleotides) under uncultured Bacillus sp. RNAcentral describes it as "bacterial SSU rRNA". It matches the Rfam family "Bacterial small subunit ribosomal RNA", at positions 375 to 918 of the family's 1533-position model. The record is from RNAcentral. Lineage: Bacteria; Bacillati; Bacillota; Bacilli; Caryophanales; Bacillaceae.